This 460-nucleotide ribosomal RNA is filed under the name uncultured bacterium. RNAcentral describes it as "partial 16S ribosomal RNA". It matches the Rfam family "Bacterial small subunit ribosomal RNA", at positions 338 to 795 of the family's 1533-position model. The record is from RNAcentral.
CCUACGGGUGGCAGCAGUAGGGAAUCUUCCACAAUGGGCGAAAGCCUGAACCAGCCAAGUCGCGUGAGGGAUGACGGUCCUAUGGAUUGUAAACCUCUUUUGUCGGGGAGCAAGGCCCGCCACGUGUGGCGGGAAGGAGAGUACCCGAAGAAAAAGCAUCGGCUAACUCAGGGCCAGCAGCCGCGGUAAUACGGAGGAUGCGAGCGUUAGCCGGAUUUGUUGGUUUUAAAGGGUGCGUAGGCGGAAGGUUAAGUCAGCGGUCAAAUGUCGGUGCUCAACACCGGCCUGCCGUUGAAACUGGUCUUCUUGAGUGAGCGAGAAGUAUGCGGAAUGCGUGGUGUAGCGGUGAAAUGCAUAGAUAUCACGCAGAACUCCGAUUGCGAAGGCAGCAUACCGGCGCUCAACUGACGCUGAGGCACGAAAGCGUGGGGAUCGAACAGGAUUAGAUACCCGGGUAGUC